This 327-nucleotide unclassified non-coding RNA is filed under the name soil metagenome. RNAcentral's name for it is "partial contains 5.8S ribosomal RNA, internal transcribed spacer 2, and large subunit ribosomal RNA". The stretch from base 1 to 120 matches the Rfam family "5.8S ribosomal RNA", at positions 35 to 154 of the family's 154-position model. The record is from RNAcentral.
GAUGAAGAACGUAGCGAAAUGCGAUAAGUAGUGUGAAUUGCAGAAUUCAGUGAAUCAUCGAAUCUUUGAACGCACAUUGCGCCCCUUGGUAUCCCGAGGGGCAUGCCUGUUCGAGCGUCAUUUCACCACUCAAGCCUGGCUUGGUGUUGGGCGACGUCCCCUUUGGGGACGCGCCUCGAAACGCUCGGCGGCGUGGCACCGGCUUUAAGCGUAGCAGAAUCUUUCGCUUUGGAAGUCGGGGCCCCGUCUGCCGGAAGACCUACUCGCAAGGUUGACCUCGGAUCAGGCAGGGAUACCCGCUGAACUUAAGCAUAUCAAUAACGGAGA